GGUCUGACGGAGCACGCCGCGUGAGUGAUGAAGGUUUUCGGAUCGUAAAGCUCUGUUGUUAGGGAAGAACAAGUGCAAGAGUAACUGCUUGCACCUUGACGGUACCUAACCAGAAAGCCACGGCUAACUACGUGCCAGCAGCCGCGGUAAUACGUAGGUGGCAAGCGUUGUCCGGAAUUAUUGGGCGUAAAGGGCUCGCAGGCGGUUUCUUAAGUCUGAUGUGAAAGCCCCCGGCUCAACCGGGGAGGGUCAUUGGAAACUGGGAAACUUGAGUGCAGAAGAGGAGAGUGGAAUUCCACGUGUAGCGGUGAAAUGCGUAGAGAUGUGGAGGAACACCAGUGGCGAAGGCGACUCUCUGGUCUGUAACUGACGCUGAGGAGCGAAAGCGUGGGGAGCGAACAGGAUUAGAUACCCUGGUAGUCCACGCCGUAAACGAUGAGUGCUAAGUGUUAGGGGGUUUCCGCCCCUUAGUGCUGCAGCUAACGCAUUAAGCACUCCGCCUGGGGAGUACGGUCGCAAGACUGAAACUCAAAGGAAUUGACGGGGGCCCGCACAAGCGGUGGAGCAUGUGGUUUAAUUCGAAGCAACGCGAAGAACCUUACCAGGUCUUGACAUCCUCUGACAACCCUAGAGAUAGGGCUUUCCCUUCGGGGACAGAGUGACAGGUGGUGCAUGGUUGUCGUCAGCUCGUGUCGUGAGAUGUUGGGUUAAGUCCCGCAACGAGCGCAACCCUUGAUCUUAGUUGCCAGCAUUCAGUUGGGCACUCUAAGGUGACUGCCGGUGACAAACCGGAGGAAGGUGGGGAUGACGUCAAAUCAUCAUGCCCC
This 827-nucleotide ribosomal RNA is filed under the name Bacillus pumilus. RNAcentral describes it as "bacterial SSU rRNA". It matches the Rfam family "Bacterial small subunit ribosomal RNA", at positions 380 to 1201 of the family's 1533-position model. The record is from RNAcentral. Lineage: Bacteria; Bacillati; Bacillota; Bacilli; Caryophanales; Bacillaceae.